Small nuclear RNA from Nomascus leucogenys (northern white-cheeked gibbon), 107 nucleotides. The record is from Ensembl. Lineage: Eukaryota; Metazoa; Chordata; Mammalia; Primates; Hylobatidae.
GUGCUUGCUUCGGCAGCACAUAUACUAAAAUUGGAAGGAUACAGAGAAGAUUACCAUGGCCCUUAUGCGAGAAUGACAUGCAAAUUUGUGAAGCCUUCCAAAAAUUU